AGGAGCACAAGAAAUUAUGUACUUUGAACUCACUAUAAUCAGCCCUCUAAAAUGAAACUCGAGUUACAAAGAAUUGCAUAAAUUGAAAUAAAUACAGUAAUACACAUUAGCGAAAAAUGCUAUGACGAAUUCGGACUUACCAUGUGUCACAGAGGCUGAGAUACUAAUUGAACUUCUUUAGCCAAGCAGCGAUAGAUUGCUUGUUGUCUCUUCAAGUCCACCUCUAUUCAUGACAAACAUCUUACCCUUUAUAUGAAAACUCCAACCACGCUAAAUAUGGAAACUCCGAUCACACUAUUUUUAAUCCACAUAUCUCAGUAAUUUCAAGAUCCAUUUCUUUACCUUUACAAAAAAACUCAAGAUCUAUGAAAAUGUGCAACAUCAAAAAAAAGGAAAAAAUAUAUCAAUAAAUUUUUGACAAUGCCAUUCCAAGGAGAAAAAAAAUUAGUUGUUUAAUCCUAAUAACUUACCUAUAAUAGCUGAUGAGUAAAUCACAAGUUAAAUCUUAAAUAUGCGAAGCUAUGAUUUUGAUGAGGGAAAACACAAGGCUACAAACUUCUAUAAGAUCACUUUUUUCUCAUUUGACGAAAAAGUAAAUAAACAGAACUCAACAUGUCAAAACUAUUAUAUACUUAGUAACAACCAAUAAGCACUUCAAACACAAAUGCGAUUAAAUUUUAUCCAUUCAGCCACUAAUAACCGUAAAAACUAAAGGCGCUCAUGAUGACAAAGUGGUGCUAUAAAUUACCUCUGCUGCAAUGUGACGUGGUUGAUGCUUGAAUUCCAGAGUCUGAAAUAAAUCUCAAAUCUAAUUGGUUUGAUGUUCUUUCGGAAACCUCGUCGCAAGUUUUUUAAAAUCUACAUAAUACAAAAGAAUCUGUUGAUAUUUCUUUCAAUACCUUGGAUGGAAUUUGCAAGUGGAUUUCAGUAGCUCGAAGGAAUACGUUUAUUUGGUAGUUGACGCUACUGUCAUGUCUGAAAUUAGGCUGCAGAUGGAAGCUUUUAGACGUGGCUUCAAUCAGUUUUACUGCUGUCAUAAGCCUUUGUAGCCUGAGUAUUCUGUCUGGAGUAUUUAAAUGAUUACGCUUUGAAGACCUGCACAAGAAAUUAUGUACUUUGAACUCACUAUAAUCAGCCCUCUAAAAUGAGACUCGAGUUAAUUGAAAUAAAUACAGUAACACACAUUAGCGAAAAAUGCUAUGACGAAUUCGGACUUACCAUGUGUCACAGAGGCUGAGAUACUAACUGAACUUCUUUAGCCAAGCAGCGAUAGAUUGCUUGUUGUCUCUUCAAGUCCACCUCUAUUCAUGACAAACAUCUUACCCUUUAUAUGAAAACUCCGAUCACACUAUUUUUAAUCCACAUAUCUCAGUAAUUUCAAGAUCCAUUUCUUUACCUUUACAAAAAAACUCAAGAUCCAUGAAAAUGUGCAACAUCAGAACAUGUGCGCAGGACUGGGCAACAAAAUGGGAAAAAAUAUAUCAAUACACUCACAAGAAGAGACAACCAAAACAGAAGAAAAUAAUAACAAUAAUUUGCGUGGAAAAAAUAACAUGCUUCACAUUACUUGGCAAAAAACUCACAUAUAUGCAUGCCAAAGAAGGAUGAACAGUAAGCUUCAAAAUGGUAAAUAAAAACAAAAGAAACAAAAAAACAUUAUUCAGUUAUCUCAAUUUUAAGCCAUAUAUCAAACACAUUGCGUAAAUUAGUGUGCACAUGCUGUAAUGAUAACCAAUCCAUUAGAACCUCAUAUCUUCUAGUGCUUCUCAAAUGUUCUUCAAC
Molecule: long non-coding RNA, 1782 nt
Filed under: Nicotiana tabacum (common tobacco)
Lineage: Eukaryota; Viridiplantae; Streptophyta; Magnoliopsida; Solanales; Solanaceae
Description: long non-coding RNA (NTAB_LNC006217)
Source: RNAcentral